UACGUAGGGUGCAGGCGUUAAUCGGAAUUACUGGGCGUAAAGCGUGCGCAGGCGGUUUGCUAAGACAGGUGUGAAAUCCCCGGGCUUAACCUGGGAACUGCGCUUGUAACUGGCAAGCUGGAGUGUGGCAGAGGGGGGUGGAAUUCCACGUGUAGCAGUGAAAUGCGUAGAUAUCAAGUGGAACACCAGUGGCGAAGGCGAGUCCCUGGACAAUACCUGACACUGAGGCACGAAAGCUAGGGGAGCAAACAGG
RNAcentral lists this ribosomal RNA (253 nucleotides) under uncultured bacterium. RNAcentral's name for it is "partial 16S ribosomal RNA". It matches the Rfam family "Bacterial small subunit ribosomal RNA", at positions 524 to 776 of the family's 1533-position model. The record is from RNAcentral.